UGACCCGAAAAUAACCCGUUUGGUUUGGAUUCGGUUAUUAUCUAAAUAAUUGAUGGAUAUUGUUUUCUAGCAGUGGAUAUCGGAUCGAAUCCAGGUAUUAUCCGAGCACGGAAUGGGUAUCCGUUUACCCGGAUUUAGAGUAAACCUAAUCUACUUUUAUCUUUCAUUUGUUUUUAUUUUUGGGCAUUUUGCUUCAUUUUUU
This 202-nucleotide long non-coding RNA is filed under the name Capsella rubella. Its description in RNAcentral is "long non-coding RNA (CRUB_LNC005079)". Lineage: Eukaryota; Viridiplantae; Streptophyta; Magnoliopsida; Brassicales; Brassicaceae. The record is from RNAcentral.